RNAcentral lists this ribosomal RNA (233 nucleotides) under Cotylophoron sp. pps4-hstu. Its description in RNAcentral is "partial small subunit ribosomal RNA". It matches the Rfam family "Eukaryotic small subunit ribosomal RNA", at positions 1457 to 1697 of the family's 1831-position model. The record is from RNAcentral. Lineage: Eukaryota; Metazoa; Platyhelminthes; Trematoda; Plagiorchiida; Paramphistomidae.
CAGUUCUGUGAUGACUCUGGAUGUCCGGGGCCGCAGUCGCUAUGACGGUUUCAGCGAGUCUGGAACCUGGCCCGAAAGGGUUGGGCAAACUGAACCAUAACCGUCCUGACAGGGAUCGGGGCUUGCAAUUGUUCUCCGUGAACGAGGAAUUCCUGGUAAGUGCAAGUCAUAAGCUUGCGCUGAUUACGUCCUGCCCUGAACACACCGCCCGUCGCUACUACCGAUUGAAUGGU